RNAcentral lists this ribosomal RNA (250 nucleotides) under uncultured bacterium. RNAcentral describes it as "partial 16S ribosomal RNA". It matches the Rfam family "Bacterial small subunit ribosomal RNA", at positions 524 to 773 of the family's 1533-position model. The record is from RNAcentral.
GACGAACCGUGCGAACGUUGUUCGGAAUCACUGGGCUUAAAGGGCGCGUAGGCGGGCGAUCAAGUCAGAGGUGAAAGCCCUGGGCUCAACCCGGGAGGUGCCUUUGAAACUGGUUGUCUGGAGUUCGGGAGAGGAUGGCGGAAUUCCCAGUGUAGAGGUGAAAUUCGUAGAUAUUGGGAAGAACACCGGUGGCGAAGGCGGCCAUCUGGCCCGGAACUGACGCUGAGGCAUGAAAGCGUGGGGAGCAAAC